AGAGUGAACAGAGGACAGGUUCGUUCAAAGUCAGAGGAGCCUUCAACAAGUGCCUUGUCCUGAGUGGGGAGAAGCCAGGCACCCAUGUGACUACUGCCUCCUCAGGAAACCACGGUUUGGCUUGUACAUUAGCCAUGAAGACAGUUGGGCUGAGAGGAACAAUCUUCCUGGGAGAGAAUGUGUCCAAGACAAAGGAGUUGGCCCUGGUCAGAGAGGGAGCCGUCCUGAGGCAUCAUGGGACAGACUGUGUAGAGACGGAGAACAAAGCGAGGCAGACUGCCCGGGAAGAAGGGAUUGAGUACAUAUCCCCAUACAAUGAUAUGGAGGUCAUGACCGGACAGGGGACAAUAGG
This is a long non-coding RNA of Branchiostoma belcheri (Belcher's lancelet), 352 nucleotides long. RefSeq lists it as uncharacterized. The transcript is spliced from 3 exons. NCBI's taxonomy places the organism in Eukaryota, Metazoa, Chordata, Leptocardii, Amphioxiformes, Branchiostomatidae. The record is from RefSeq and is a predicted model, not a curated record.